RNAcentral lists this transfer RNA (74 nucleotides) under Natronogracilivirga saccharolytica. It matches the Rfam family "tRNA". From Rfam's summary of the family: Transfer RNA (tRNA) molecules are approximately 80 nucleotides in length. Their secondary structure includes four short double-helical elements and three loops (D, anti-codon, and T loops). Lineage: Bacteria; Pseudomonadati; Balneolota; Balneolia; Balneolales; Cyclonatronaceae. The record is from Rfam by way of RNAcentral. RNAcentral also lists the same sequence under 1 other name.
GGGGCUAUAGCUCAGCUGGCUAGAGCGCCUGCCUUGCAAGCAGGAGGUCGCCGGUUCGAUUCCGGCUAGCUCCA